This 433-nucleotide ribosomal RNA is filed under the name uncultured bacterium. Its description in RNAcentral is "partial 16S ribosomal RNA". It matches the Rfam family "Bacterial small subunit ribosomal RNA", at positions 29 to 507 of the family's 1533-position model. The record is from RNAcentral.
AGCGAACGCUGGCGGCAGGCUUAACACAUGCAAGUCGAGCGGGCACUUCGGUGUCAGCGGCAGACGGGUGAGUAACACGUGGGAACGUACCCUUUGGUUCGGAAUAACGCUGGGAAACUAGCGCUAAUACCGGAUACGCCCUUUUGGGGAAAGGCUUGCUGCCGAAGGAUCGGCCCGAGUCUGAUUAGCUUGUUGGUGGGGUAAUGGCCUACCCAGGCGCCGAUCAGUAGCUGGUUUGAGAGGAUGAUCAGCCACACUGGGACUGAGACACGGCCCAGACUCCUACGGGAGGGAGCAGUGGGGAAUAGUGGACAAUGGGCGCAAGCCUGAUCCAGCCAUGCCGCGUGAGUGAUGAAGGCCUUAGGGUUGUAAAGCUCUUUUGUCCGGGACGAUAAUGACGUUACCGGAAGAAUAAGCCCCGGCUAACUUCGUG